UACGUAGGGUGCAAGCGUUAUCCGGAAUUAUUGGGCGUAAAGAGCUCGUAGGCGGUUUUGUCGCGUCUGCUGUGAAAAACUGGAGGCUCAACCUCCAGCCUGCAGUGGGUACGGGCAGGCUAGAAUUCGGUAGGGGGGAGACUGGAAAUUCCUGGUGUAGCGGUGAAAAUGCGCAGAUAUCAGGAGGAACACCGGUGGCGAAGGCGGCGAUCUGGGUCGAUACUGACGCUGAGGUGCGAAAAGCGUGGGGGGAGCAAACAGG
Molecule: ribosomal RNA, 262 nt
Filed under: uncultured bacterium
Lineage: Bacteria
Description: partial 16S ribosomal RNA
Rfam family: Bacterial small subunit ribosomal RNA
Source: RNAcentral